UCCGGUUGAUCCUGCCAGUAGUCAUAUGCUUGUCUCAAAGACUAAGCCAUGCAUGUCUAAGUAUAAAUAACUACACAGUAAAACUGCGAAUGGCUCAUUAAAACAGUUAUAGUUUAUUUGAUACAUUAAAUGGAUAACUGUAGAAAAACUAGAGCUAAUACAUGCUAAGGCCGCAAGGUUGUAUUUAUUAGAUAUUCCAAUAAGGUGAAUCAUAAUAACUUCGCAAAUCUCAUAUUUGUUGAGAUAAAUCAUCCAAGUUUCUGCCCUAUCAUGCUUUCGUUGGUAGUGUAUUGGACUACCAUGGCUCUCACGGGUAACAGGGAAUUAGGGUUCGAUUCUGGAGAAGGAGCCUGAGAAACGGCUACUACAUCUACGGAAGGCAGCAGGCGCGUAAAUUACCCAAUCCUGACUCAGGGAGGUGGUGACAAGAUAUAACAACGAGACUUUAAAUCUCGAUUGUAGUGAGGGUAUUCUAAAUAGAACCUAUAGUACGAUUAGAGGGCAAGUCUGGUGCCAGCAGCCGCGGUAAUUCCAGCUCUAAUAGCGUAUAUUAAAGUUGCUGCAGUUAAAAAGCUCGUAGUU
RNAcentral lists this ribosomal RNA (582 nucleotides) under uncultured rumen protozoa. Its description in RNAcentral is "SSU rRNA". It matches the Rfam family "Eukaryotic small subunit ribosomal RNA", at positions 1 to 635 of the family's 1831-position model. The record is from RNAcentral.